Molecule: microRNA, 21 nt
Filed under: Ephydatia muelleri
Lineage: Eukaryota; Metazoa; Porifera; Demospongiae; Spongillida; Spongillidae
Also listed under: 1 other name
Description: Emu-Mir-2015_5p (mature (guide))
Source: RNAcentral
UCAUGUAUUGUGGAGGGGAGA